Molecule: small RNA, 119 nt
Filed under: human gut metagenome
Description: Staphylococcus-1 RNA
Rfam family: Staphylococcus-1 RNA
About the family: Firmicute (1 example). Nearby to self-splicing intron genes
Source: RNAcentral
GAUGAAACUGACAACUUUCAUUGAAAGUUGACUAAUUAAUCUUCUGUAAUGCUAUUAUGAGGGUUACCCUUUGAGGUUUAUAGCGAUAGGCCGUCCUAUGAUUAGUCACAUGAUUUUGU